UGGGGAAUUUUGCACAAUGGGGGAAACCCUGAUGCAGCGACGCCGCGUGAUUUAGAAGGCCUUCGGGUUGUAAAAAUCUUUUCUAUGGGAAGAAAAUGACAGUACCAUAGGAAUAAGGACCGGCUAAUCACGUGCCAGCAGCCGCGGUAAUACGUAAGGUCCGAGCGUUGUCCGGAAUCAUUGGGCGUAAAGGGUACGUAGGCGGGUAAGCAAGUUAGAAGUGAAAUCCUAUAGCUCAACUAUAGUAAGCUUUUAAAACUGCUCAUCUUGAGGUAUGGAAGGGACAGUGGAAUUCCAAGUGUAGCGGUGAAAUGCGCAGAGAUUAGGGAGAAUACAGGUGGCAAAGGCGACUUUCUGGCCAUAACCUGACGCUGAGGUACGAAAGCGUGGGUAGCAAACAGG
This 402-nucleotide ribosomal RNA is filed under the name bacterium. RNAcentral describes it as "partial 16S ribosomal RNA". It matches the Rfam family "Bacterial small subunit ribosomal RNA", at positions 355 to 776 of the family's 1533-position model. The record is from RNAcentral.